GAUGAACGCUGGCGGCGUGCCUAAUACAUGCAAGUCGAGCGAACAGACGAGGAGCUUGCUCCUCUGACGUUAGCGGCGGACGGGUGAGUAACACGUGGAUAACCUACCUAUAAGACUGGGAUAACUUCGGGAAACCGGAGCUAAUACCGGAUAAUAUAUUGAACCGCAUGGUUCAAUAGUGAAAGACGGUUUUGCUGUAACUUAUAGAUGGAUCCGCGCCGCAUUAGCUAGUUGGUAAGGUAACGGCUUACCAAGGCAACGAUGCGUAGCCGACCUGAGAGGGGGAUAGGCCACACUAGAACUGAGACACGGUCCAGACUCCUACGGGAGGCAGCAGUAGGGAAUCUGACGCAAUGGGCGAAAGCCUGGCGGAGCAACGCCGCGUGAGUGAUGAAGGUCUUCGGAUCGUAAAGCUCUGUUAUUAGGGAAGAACAAAUGUGUAAGUAACUAUGCACGUCUUGACGGUACCUAAUCAGAAAGCCACGGCUAACUACGUG
Molecule: ribosomal RNA, 497 nt
Filed under: uncultured bacterium
Lineage: Bacteria
Description: partial 16S ribosomal RNA
Rfam family: Bacterial small subunit ribosomal RNA
Source: RNAcentral